RNAcentral lists this ribosomal RNA (455 nucleotides) under uncultured bacterium. Its description in RNAcentral is "bacterial SSU rRNA". It matches the Rfam family "Bacterial small subunit ribosomal RNA", at positions 340 to 786 of the family's 1533-position model. The record is from RNAcentral.
UACGGGAGGCAGCAGUGGGGAAUAUUGCACAAUGGGCGCAAGCCUGAUGCAGCCAUGCCGCGUGUAUGAAAAAGGCCUUCGGGUUGUAAAGUACUUUCAGUCGUGAGGAAGGUGUUAAGGUUAAUAACCUUAGCAAUUGACGUUAGCGACAGAAGAAGCACCGGCUAACUCCGUGCCAGCAGCCGCGGUAAUACGGAGGGUGCGAGCGUUAAUCGGAAUUACUGGGCGUAAAGGGCACGCAGGCGGUUAAUUAAGUUGGAUGUGAAAUCCCCGGGCUUAACCUGGGAAUGGCAUUCAAGACUGGUUAGCUAGAGUCUUGUAGAGGGGGUAGAAUUCCAUGUGUAGCGGUGAAAUGCGUAGAGAUGUGGAGGAAUACCGGUGGCGAAGGCGGCCCCUGGACAAAGACUGACGCUCAUGUGCGAAAGCGUGGGGAGCGAAACAGGGAUUAGGAUACC